Non-coding RNA from Pelobates cultripes (western spadefoot toad), 230 nucleotides. The record is from the annotation of a GenBank genome assembly. NCBI's taxonomy places the organism in Eukaryota, Metazoa, Chordata, Amphibia, Anura, Pelobatidae.
CAAUAUUCCGAUGGAUAGCUUGACACGUAAAGUAACUUGUUAUAACUCUGUCAUUAAAAUUGCGUUACGUAUGAUUGAAUUCUCAUGGAGGACCUUGUGAGGGUCCGGCGUGCGGCGGUCAGUCCUUAGCAAUUGACAAAGGUUUGAAUUAAUAUGUGGCGGUCGAAGUGUAGGUGCAGUGAGUAUUUAGUAUACAUGUUAAUGGCUUGCCCUGACUUGCAUUUGUAUUG